This 29-nucleotide small RNA is filed under the name Bombyx mori (domestic silkworm). RNAcentral describes it as "ovarian small RNA-30690". The record is from RNAcentral. Lineage: Eukaryota; Metazoa; Arthropoda; Insecta; Lepidoptera; Bombycidae.
UGAACAGUUGGACAGGCGAGGAAACGUGU